This 500-nucleotide ribosomal RNA is filed under the name uncultured Myrionecta. RNAcentral describes it as "bacterial SSU rRNA". It matches the Rfam family "Eukaryotic small subunit ribosomal RNA", at positions 1211 to 1798 of the family's 1831-position model. Lineage: Eukaryota; Ciliophora; Litostomatea; Cyclotrichida; Mesodiniidae. The record is from RNAcentral.
AAACUUACCAGGUCAAGACAUGGGCGUGAUUGACAGGCUAAUGACUUUUCUCGAUUCCAUGGAUGGUGGUGCAUGGUCGCACUUAGUUGGUGCAGUGAUUUGUCAGGUUUAUUCCGGUAACGAACGAGAUCUCGGCCUUGUAAAUAGCUAUGCUGCUUACAGGGACAUUGGCGGCUACGCCAAGGAAGCUCGAGGCAAUUGCAGAUCUGGAAUGCCCUUAGAUGUCCUGGGUCGCACGCGUGCUACAAUGACGCCACGAACGAGCUUGCGUGAUGAAAGUUACGCAUAAUCAGCAGUCGGCGUCUUAAGGGAUAGUCUCUUGUAACUGUGGGACUCCAACUAGGAAUGUCUCGUAAGCACAAGUCAACAUCUUGUGUUGAUUACGUCCCUGCUCUUUGUACACACCGCCCGUCGCUCCUACCGAUCGAGUGUUUAGGUGAAUUUGAUGGACGUAAGGAAGUCAAAUAAACCUGAGCACUAGAGAAGAGAAGUCGAGCAUG